CGCGUAGGCGGCCAGCGCAAGUCAGUUGUGAAAUCUCCGGGCUUAACUCGGAACGGUCAACUGAUACUGCGCGGCUAGAGUGCGGAAGGGGCAACUGGAAUUCUCGGUGUAGCGGUGAAAUGCGUAGAUAUCGAGAGGAACACCCGCGGCGAAGGCGGGUUGCUGGGCCGACACUGACGCUGAUGCGCGAAAGCCAGGGGAGCGAACG
This 208-nucleotide ribosomal RNA is filed under the name uncultured bacterium. RNAcentral describes it as "partial 16S ribosomal RNA". It matches the Rfam family "Bacterial small subunit ribosomal RNA", at positions 568 to 774 of the family's 1533-position model. The record is from RNAcentral.